Molecule: non-coding RNA, 114 nt
Organism: Cephalotrichum gorgonifer
Lineage: Eukaryota; Fungi; Ascomycota; Sordariomycetes; Microascales; Microascaceae
Source: the annotation of a GenBank genome assembly
GGGCCGAUGGUCUAGCGGUAUGAUUCUCGCUUAGGGUAACACCCUUGGCAAGCCAUGUGAGCAAUCACGUGACUAAUUUGCGAGAGGUCCCGGGUUCAAUUCCCGGUUGGCCCC